This 465-nucleotide ribosomal RNA is filed under the name Vreelandella stevensii. Its description in RNAcentral is "partial 16S ribosomal RNA". It matches the Rfam family "Bacterial small subunit ribosomal RNA", at positions 338 to 795 of the family's 1533-position model. The record is from RNAcentral. Lineage: Bacteria; Pseudomonadati; Pseudomonadota; Gammaproteobacteria; Oceanospirillales; Halomonadaceae.
CCUACGGGCGGCAGCAGUGGGGAAUAUUGGACAAUGGGGGGAACCCUGAUCCAGCCAUGCCGCGUGUGUGAAGAAGGCCCUCGGGUUGUAAAGCACUUUCAGUGAGGAAGAACGCCUGGUGGUUAAUACCCAUCAGGUAAGACAUCACUCACAGAAGAAGCACCGGCUAACUCCGUGCCAGCAGCCGCGGUAAUACGGAGGGUGCGAGCGUUAAUCGGAAUUACUGGGCGUAAAGCGCGCGUAGGUGGCUUGAUAAGUCGGUUGUGAAAGCCCCGGGCUCAACCUGGGAACGGCAUCCGGAACUGUCAAGCUAGAGUGCAGGAGAGGAAGGUAGAAUUCCCGGUGUAGCGGUGAAAUGCGUAGAGAUCGGGAGGAAUACCAGUGGCGAAGGCGGCCUUCUGGACUGACACUGACACUGAGGUGCGAAAGCGUGGGUAGCAAACAGGAUUAGAUACCCUUGUAGUC